GUGCUUGCUCCAGUAGCACGUACACUAAAACCAGAGUGAUACGGAGGAGAUUAGCACAGCUUCUGUACGAGGAUGACUUGCAAAUUCUGGAUGCAUUCCACAUUUUG
Neogale vison (American mink) is the source of this 107-nucleotide small nuclear RNA. The record is from Ensembl. NCBI's taxonomy places the organism in Eukaryota, Metazoa, Chordata, Mammalia, Carnivora, Mustelidae.